RNAcentral lists this ribosomal RNA (403 nucleotides) under uncultured bacterium. Its description in RNAcentral is "partial 16S ribosomal RNA". It matches the Rfam family "Bacterial small subunit ribosomal RNA", at positions 30 to 526 of the family's 1533-position model. The record is from RNAcentral.
AUUGAACGCUGGCGGCAGGCCUAACACAUGCAAGUCGAGCGAGCGGCGGACGGGUGAGGAAUGUAUGGGGACUGCCCGAUAGAGGGGGAUAACGACUGGAACCGGUAGCUAAUACCGCAUACUAUCGGAUAACCCAUAAGGGAUUGGCUAGUUGGUGAGGUAAUGUCUCACAAAGGCGACGAUCCCUAGCUGGUCUGAGAGGAUGAUCAGCAACACUGGAACUGAGACACGGCCCAGACUCCUACGGAGGCAGCAGUGGGAAAUAUUGCACAAUGGGCGCAAGCCUGAUGCAGCCAGGCCGCGUGUAUGAAGAAGGCCCUAGGGUUGUAAAGUACUUUCAGUCGGGAGGCGUUACCGACAGAAGAAGCACCGGCUAACUCCGUGCCAGCCGCCGCGGUAAUUC